Molecule: transfer RNA, 69 nt
Filed under: Podarcis lilfordi (Lilford's wall lizard)
Lineage: Eukaryota; Metazoa; Chordata; Lepidosauria; Squamata; Lacertidae
Description: tRNA.Ala
Rfam family: tRNA
About the family: Transfer RNA (tRNA) molecules are approximately 80 nucleotides in length. Their secondary structure includes four short double-helical elements and three loops (D, anti-codon, and T loops).
Source: RNAcentral
GGCAUGGUUCAGUGGUAGAGCAUUUGCUUUGCAUGCAGAUGGUCCCAGGUUCAAACCCUGGCAUCUCCA